AAAUUGAAGAGUUUGAUCAUGGCUCAGAUUGAACGCUGGCGGCAGGCCUAACACAUGCAAGUCGAACGGUAACAGGAAGAAGCUUG
This 86-nucleotide ribosomal RNA is filed under the name Escherichia coli. RNAcentral's name for it is "partial 16S ribosomal RNA". It matches the Rfam family "Bacterial small subunit ribosomal RNA", at positions 1 to 87 of the family's 1533-position model. RNAcentral also lists the same sequence under 3 other names. Lineage: Bacteria; Pseudomonadati; Pseudomonadota; Gammaproteobacteria; Enterobacterales; Enterobacteriaceae. The record is from RNAcentral.